GUCCUACGGGGGGCAGCAGUGGGGAAUAUUGCACAAUGGGGGAAACCCUGAUGCAGCGACGCCGCGUGAGUGAAGAAGUAUUUCGGUAUGUAAAGCUCUAUCAGCAGGGAAGAAAAAAGACGGUACCUGACUAAGAAGCCCCGGCUAACUACGUGCCAGCAGCCGCGGUAAUACGUAGGGGGCAAGCGUUAUCCGGAUUUACUGGGUGUAAAGGGAGCGUAGACGGCGCGGCAAGUCUGAAGUGAAGGGCAGGGGCUUAACCCCUGAACUGCUUUGGAAACUGCCAU
This 287-nucleotide ribosomal RNA is filed under the name uncultured bacterium. Its description in RNAcentral is "partial 16S ribosomal RNA". It matches the Rfam family "Bacterial small subunit ribosomal RNA", at positions 335 to 639 of the family's 1533-position model. The record is from RNAcentral.